CACAUUACAGGAAGGGCUAUGGAUCUAGUAGGUGCCCUUACAGACACAUUACAGGAAGGGCUGUGGAUCUAGUAGGUGCCCUUACAGACACAUUACAGGAAGGGCUGUGGAUCUAGUAGGUGCCCUUACAGACACAUUACAGGAAGCGCUGUGGAUCUAGUAGGUGCCCUUAGACACAUUACAGGAAUGGCUGUGGAUCUAGUAGGUGCCUUUACAGACACAUUACAGGACUACAGAAGGUAGGGUUACUAUGGAGAACUUUGGAAAGAGGUUGAAGAGAUUGCAGAGCUCUGUGAAAUAAGUGUACAAACAGUAUGUUAAAGACAGUCUAAAACAAGCGUGUGAUUCCACAAAUCAUUGAUGAUGAGCACUGUAGGACAGAAAGAUAGUGACCAAAGUGAUGGUGAGAGCUUCCAAAGAGCUGUCUUUU
Long non-coding RNA from Oncorhynchus tshawytscha (Chinook salmon), 430 nucleotides. NCBI's taxonomy places the organism in Eukaryota, Metazoa, Chordata, Actinopteri, Salmoniformes, Salmonidae. The record is from Ensembl.